GAUAAGCACUUAGAACCUGGCAUUAUUGCUUAAUAAUUUAUUGUCUUCGUAUUUGGUUUAGAACUUUGAAAUCCUUAAGUUUUAAACUAAAUGCAUUUUAAUUCUGAAGAUGUCUAUAUAUGCUUAGGAUUACUGCAUAUUGGUAUUUAAAUAUGUAUAUUUAAAUAUAUGAAUGUAUUUAGAUACAUGUAUAAAUACAGUCUGAAUACUACUCUCUAGCCAUUAUCAGUAUCUUAAUUCCAUCUCCCUUCCACUGG
RNAcentral lists this long non-coding RNA (257 nucleotides) under Homo sapiens (human). RNAcentral describes it as "non-protein coding lnc-PID1-3:1". Lineage: Eukaryota; Metazoa; Chordata; Mammalia; Primates; Hominidae. The record is from RNAcentral.